Molecule: ribosomal RNA, 492 nt
Filed under: uncultured bacterium
Lineage: Bacteria
Description: partial 16S ribosomal RNA
Rfam family: Bacterial small subunit ribosomal RNA
Source: RNAcentral
AGUGAACGCUGGCGGUAGGCCUAACACAUGCAAGUCGAACGGCAGCACAGUAAGAGCUUGCUCUUACAGGUGGCGAGUGGCGGACGGGUGAGGAAUACAUCGGAAUCUACUUUUUCGUGGGGGAUAACGUAGGGAAACUUACGCUAAUACCGCAUACGACCUACGGGUGAAAGCAGGGGAUCUUCGGACCUUGCGCGAUUGAAUGAGCCGAUGUCGGAUUAGCUAGUUGGCGGGGUAAAGGCCCACCAAGGCGACGAUCCGUAGCUGGCCUGAGAGGAUGAUCAGCCACACUGGAACUGAGACACGGUCCAGACUCCUACGGGAGGCAGCAGUGGGGAAUAUUGGACAAUGGGCGCAAGCCUGAUCCAGCCAUACCGCGUGGGUGAAGAAGGCCUUCGGGUUGUAAAGCCCUUUUGUUGGGAAAGAAAAGCAGCAGGUUAAUACCCCGCUGUUCUGACGGUACCCAAAGAAUAAGCACCGGCUAACUUCGUG